This 77-nucleotide transfer RNA is filed under the name Roseospira visakhapatnamensis. RNAcentral describes it as "tRNA-Arg". It matches the Rfam family "tRNA". From Rfam's summary of the family: Transfer RNA (tRNA) molecules are approximately 80 nucleotides in length. Lineage: Bacteria; Pseudomonadati; Pseudomonadota; Alphaproteobacteria; Rhodospirillales; Rhodospirillaceae. The record is from RNAcentral. RNAcentral also lists the same sequence under 4 other names.
GCGCCCGUAGCUCAGCUGGAUAGAGCGUCGCCCUCCGGAGGCGAAGGUCAGGGGUUCGAAUCCCUUCGGGCGCGCCA